RNAcentral lists this ribosomal RNA (255 nucleotides) under Salmonella enterica. RNAcentral describes it as "partial 23S ribosomal RNA". It matches the Rfam family "Bacterial large subunit ribosomal RNA", at positions 1438 to 1693 of the family's 2925-position model. Lineage: Bacteria; Pseudomonadati; Pseudomonadota; Gammaproteobacteria; Enterobacterales; Enterobacteriaceae. The record is from RNAcentral.
CCCGUACUUGGUGUUACUGCGAAGGGGGGACGGAGAAGGCUAUGUUGGCCGGGCGACGGUUGUCCCGGUUUAAGCGUGUAGGUGUGUGUUCCAGGUAAAUCCGGUUCACUUUAACACUGAGGCGUGAUGACGAGGCGCUACGGUGCUGAAGCAACAAAUGCCCUGCUUCCAGGAAAAGCCUCUAAGCAUCAGGUAACAUCAAAUCGUACCCCAAACCGACACAGGUGGUCAGGUAGAGAAUACCAAGGCGCUUGA